This 1727-nucleotide long non-coding RNA is filed under the name Olea europaea (common olive). RNAcentral describes it as "long non-coding RNA (OEUR_LNC012041)". The record is from RNAcentral. Lineage: Eukaryota; Viridiplantae; Streptophyta; Magnoliopsida; Lamiales; Oleaceae.
UGGGAAGAUGGUGAAAUACUCGGGGGAAGAGAUGGGGAAGCCGUCUUGCACGAGGAGCGGUAGGCUUGCAUUCGUUAGAAUGUGAGAGAAAUCAAAUCAAAUUUCCAGGGCAAGAGCGAAGGAAAUCUCCCUGUUCGGUUCUUGAAGGUGAUUUUUCCAUUUCCCAUUCCGGUAUGAUAUAAUAUGUUAUCUUUGAAGUACGAUUCGAUUAAGUGAAAGCCAUUCUCCAAAUCAUUUUGAAUUAGCAAAUAUUUUGUUGCAAAAUUUCGUCAUGAAUGCUUUAAUACUGCACAUGAGGUCUCUUGCAGCGUCUUUAUAGCAUUUCCCAGUAGUUGAGUUCAUGAUUUGCUGUCUUUCUUUACUUUUAAAAUAUUUCUUUUCUAUUGGUGAAUCUUCGCUUGAAAGGUGAAAGUGCAAAUUUUGAUUUUAUUCUUAGAUUUUGAAUUAAUAUUGUGUUGAUUGUAUUAUAGAGCAAAAAUGGUUCUAAAGAAUUUAUAGAAGAACUUACGGGAGAAGCAAACCAGUAAUUAACAAGGGAUCAGCCGCCUUACAUUCCUAGACUGACAUGUCUAACACUUAUUAAUGCAAACGUUACAUUAAUCAUUCUUAAAGAUACUCAUCAGACCUACGCAAGCACUUCAGCCACAAGAGAGAGCUUCGGAUGCAAAGGAGUUCGGCUUUGAAAGGGAGCACUUCGGCAGAAGAGCCUUGAUGGAGAUAGCGCCUCAGUUGGAAGACAAUUCUUGUCUUUCUCUUUAUUUUGUCCUGAUUUACUGCCACAUAUAUGCAUGUAGUACCUCCACGUGGCUUCCAUUAGAGGCUUCAUAUAUGAUCAGUAACAAGCUGUAUAAUUUUUCUAAUAUGACGAACGAUGGGUGAGAAUUCCUCUCAUAAUUGAUAAGAAACAUGUGUAAAAUGGGGAAGGCGUAUAAUUUACUGAACAGGUCUAUUCCAUAAGGAAGUGAAGGUUGAUAUGUACCUCAGGCAUAUACAUUGGCUUGGAGUGAGAGGCGUACAUAGUCUUCUACUAUUUUGUUUCAGUUACCUUUCAAUAAGAUGCAGUGCCAGCCCAUUACAGCAGAAUGGAGGACCUGAAUUUUCUGCAUUGCACAUUCUUCAAUAAUUCAAACUUUUUCUGCAGCGAUUUCCCUUAUCUUUCCUUCAUAAUUUAUUUUGGUUCAGGGGAUGGUGGUGGGGGGUGUAAUUGAUUUUUUUUCUGGGUUGUAUUGCAGAUUCACGUCUACAGUACAGUAAUGCUAAUGGGUUGAAGACCAUAUCAACAUUUUUCUUCCAUCAUGCAGAUAUGGCCUAGCUUAAACCACAAGAUGUAACAUCUUUCUCGCUGUGCUGAGUUCUUAUAUAUCAGGCUCAAAGGUUGAGGUAUAGUUUCAAGGAUAUGUUGGAUAAAUAUGGUGAAGCUGAAAUUUCUAUUGAAGAGGUGACUGCAGAUCUAAUGAGGGACACUGGUGAGACUUUCUAAUUGCUUUUAAAAUUGUCAAGUUGCAAAUAGUUAUUUACCAAGAUCUUAUUGUGAGUUAUUUAAAAAUGUAAAAAGUUGGUUAUUUCAGCCCAAAUGGGCCACUACUUUUUCAAUUGUAUGCUUGGCUCUCCUUUUUCACCUCUAUAUUGAUUAAUGCAUUUUGCAGCUAUCUAAUUUCUUGUAAACCUUCUGUUAUUGAUGUAUUUCUUUUCCAGAAAUUGUCGCCCUGCAUUAAUAAAAAUAUAGG